This 506-nucleotide long non-coding RNA is filed under the name Homo sapiens (human). Its description in RNAcentral is "HSALNT0243952". The record is from RNAcentral. Lineage: Eukaryota; Metazoa; Chordata; Mammalia; Primates; Hominidae.
ACCACACAGAAGAUUAGCCAAGUGUGCCAAGUGUGGUGGCACACACCUGUGGUCCCAGCUACUUAGGAGGCUGAAGUGGGAGGAUCACCUGGCCCAGGAGAACGAGGCUGCGGUAAGCCAAGAUCAUGCCACUGCACUCCAGCCUGGGCAACAGAGCAAGAUCCUGUCUCAAAAAAAAAAAAAAAGAAUCAAAGAAUGGAUCAGCCUCAUAUCAUCCAAGCUCAUAGAGACAAUGAUGUAGAAAAACCCCAAUGGCUUUGUAUUGAAUCGUCACCUUCAGAGGGCUGGGGACAUAGGUUCAUAGAUAGUACCUUCACUCCCGGGAGGCACGGGAAGACAAUUCCUUUUUGGUUUUUUUUUGAGACAGAGUUUCACUCUUGCCACCCAGGCUGGAGUGCAGUGGUGCAGUCUCAGCUCACUGCAACCUCUGCCUCCUGGGUUCAAGUGCUUCUCCUGCCUUAGCCUCCCAAGUAGCUAGCAUUAUAAGUGCCCAUCACCACACCCAG